Molecule: long non-coding RNA, 199 nt
Filed under: Physcomitrium patens
Lineage: Eukaryota; Viridiplantae; Streptophyta; Bryopsida; Funariales; Funariaceae
Description: long non-coding RNA (PPAT_LNC009220)
Source: RNAcentral
GGUUGAGUCAUUAUCUGAUUACUGAGUUAUUGUUGCUUCCGUAAAUUCCAACAGUUGCUGGUAAUAUGCUUGCCCCCGCAAAAGGUACAUUGUACAGUCAUUUGGGGAGGCAAAGGACAUUCUGUUACUAAAUAACCUUGCCCCUUACAAUUCCUGCACCAGACAUUGGGACGCAUAUUGGUUGAUUUAUGUCUUUUUU